Molecule: small RNA, 316 nt
Filed under: Rhizobium etli bv. mimosae str. Mim1
Lineage: Bacteria; Pseudomonadati; Pseudomonadota; Alphaproteobacteria; Hyphomicrobiales; Rhizobiaceae
Description: miscellaneous other RNA
Source: RNAcentral
AAUUUGCGACUCUAGCGGCCAUUUGAGCCUGUUCCGGCGCGCACCGUAGCAUAUUCUGCGCCAAACGUGGUGGCGAGAAGACAAAACAGUUCAGCUUCAGAAUCUCCGCUACGGCGAGAACAGCUAUCUGUAGAGUGCCAAAUGCAAUAUAGGCAUUUUCAUCGCGUAAAGAUGGGAUGCGGCAGCGAUAAUAACAGCCCAUACGGCCAGCGAGAACAUGACCGCCGCUAACUUGAUCCCGACUGACUGCAUCAUUUCCUCCAUCCCAGCGUAAUCGUGCUCCUCCGCACGAUCGAAGGCUAGCAGGGUGUAGGUC